RNAcentral lists this ribosomal RNA (221 nucleotides) under uncultured Glomeromycotina. Its description in RNAcentral is "partial small subunit ribosomal RNA". The stretch from base 97 to 221 matches the Rfam family "Eukaryotic small subunit ribosomal RNA", at positions 738 to 864 of the family's 1831-position model. Lineage: Eukaryota; Fungi; Glomeromycota. The record is from RNAcentral.
GGCCUAGCCGGACGGUCCGUUUCUGGCGAGUACUGUUCUGUCGUCGGGUCUAUCCUUCUGGUGAGCCGGUCGGUAUGUUCUUAAUUGGGCGUCCCGGGGAACCAGGACCAUUACCUUGAAAAAAUUAGAGUGUUUAAAGCAGGCCUUUGCUUGAAUAGAUUAGCAUGGAAUAAUAGAAUAGGACGUUGUGGCUCUAUUUUGUUGGUUUUAGGACCACCGUA